RNAcentral lists this ribosomal RNA (1464 nucleotides) under Triticum aestivum (bread wheat). Its description in RNAcentral is "partial small subunit ribosomal RNA". Lineage: Eukaryota; Viridiplantae; Streptophyta; Magnoliopsida; Poales; Poaceae. The record is from RNAcentral.
AUGGCAGAUGCAGGAGCUAAUGGGGGUGGUGAUGCUUAUGAUCCAAUGGAAGAUCCAGAACGCAGGCCACGGAGGUCAAAUGAUCCAGGCUGGAAUUAUGGGUAUUGGUUGAAACCUGGCAACAUCAAUAAUGUUGUGUGCAAUCUUUGUGGCAAGAUAACUAAAGGAGGGAUCAAGAGACACAAAGAGCAUCUUGCUGGCACUGGUGGGGAUGCAACAGGUUGUCCAAAGGCUACCACACAGCUUAGGAGGGAGAUGUUAGAGUAUUUGGAAAAGAAUAGGAGAAACAUAGGACAGCCAGAUGAUGAUGAUGAUGUAGUAGUGGAGGUAGAUGCAGCAGGGACAGUUCAAAGCUCCACUAAUGCAGCAGCAGUUCAAGGCUUCGCUACAAGACCAAGUUCAGGGACAGCAGCCAAGAAGAACAAGAAAGCCUUUGCGGUAAAAAUGUCAGGCAAAAAGUUUCAAUCUGUUGCAACCAAGUCAAUUGUUUCCAUGCUUAGGAAAAAACCUGAGGAUGUUGUCGAUGAAAGACGCUCCGGUUGCUCUCAAAGCACCAUGGAGUCCAGCACAAAAACACCGGAAGAGAGGCACUAUGUGAGUAUGCAGUGGGCAUUGUUUUUCUAUGAGUGUGGCAUUCCUUUCAAUGUUGCAAGCUCUAGGCAAUUCCAGAUUGCAAUAGAAGCCUCUUGUCAAUAUGGCUCGGGUUACAAGCCUCCUUCUCCUCAUGAGCUGCGGGAGCCAUUGCUUAGGGAUGGUGUCAAGGAAACAAAAAAGUUGAGGGUGACGCACGAGGUAGCAUGGAAGCAAUAUGGCUGCACACUAAUGUCAGAUGGCUGGUCCGAUAAAAGGGGACGCCACUUGAUCAACUUCCUUGUAAACAGCCCGGCGGGCACUUACUUCUUGGAGUCGGUUGAUGCAUCAAGUGAAUGCCAAGAUGCUCGGAUGAUAGCAGAUUUGCUAGAGAAGAGAAUCGAGGAUGUCGGUAAAGAGUAUGUUGUCCAAGUUGUCACCGACAAUGGUGCGAACUACAAGGCAGCGGGCAAGAUACUAAUGGAAAGGAUUCCUACACUAUAUUGGAGUCCAUGUGCAUGCCAUUGCUUGGACCUAAUGUUGGAAGAUAUAGGGAAGCUAAAGGCAUUUAAGAAGCCUAUUGCACGGGGUAGACGAGUCACCACUUUCAUCUAUAGGCAUGGCAGAAUUCUUAGUCUAAUGAGGAAGGCAACGGGUGGGCUGGAUCUUGUGAGACCCGCAGCCACUCGCUUUGCCACAUCCAUUCUUGCUCUUAAGAGUUUGGUCAAGCACAAGCAAGCAUUGAGGAGUCUAUUUACAUGUCAAGCAUGGGUCGGAAACAAAUUGGCGAAAACUGCAGCCGGUUUGAAUGUGCAAGACAUUGUGCUUUCAGCAGAUUGGUGGCAUGCAAUUGAGGACUGCCUUAGAGCCAGUGAUUACGAGUCGAACGACUAG